RNAcentral lists this ribosomal RNA (253 nucleotides) under uncultured bacterium. RNAcentral describes it as "partial 16S ribosomal RNA". It matches the Rfam family "Bacterial small subunit ribosomal RNA", at positions 524 to 776 of the family's 1533-position model. The record is from RNAcentral.
UACGUAGGGUGCAAGCGUUGUCCGGAAUUAUUGGGCGUAAAGAGCGUGUAGGCGGCCCGAUAAGUCCGCUGUGAAAGUCCAGGGCUCAACCCUGGAAUGCCAGUGGAAACUGUCGGGCUGGAGUCCGGAAGAGGCGAGUGGAAUUCCUGGUGUAGCGGUGAAAUGCGCAGAUAUCAGGAGGAACACCAAUGGCGAAGGCAGCUCGCUGGGACGGUACUGACGCUGAGACGCGAAAGCGUGGGGAGCGAACAGG